CUCAAGCCAACACACUUGUGCCAAAAACUCUCAUAUCUCAUCUCUCUCGCGACAGAAACUUCUUAUCAUCUCUCCUACGUUUUCUUUUCCAAUCAAGAUUCACCAUUUUUCGUCGACGGUUUCUUCCAUCAUCAAAUGCCUUCCACUGUGUUACAGAUCCAGUUCUUUUGGUGUCAAGAUGUUCAUGUUCAUUUCUUUCUUCCAGAUCCAGUUUAUUCCCUUUUCAUAUGAGAUCCGACGACAUCAUAAAAGACAGUUUUAGGCUGGUGGCAUUAAAAUCACAGGUUUUUUAUGGGUUACACCGUUAUAAAUCACCUGCUAAGCCUAUUCGUUAGGGUUAUGUGAUCAGUAAGCAUGCCAAUCUGAAUUGAUUUUAUUUUCACAUUCAAAUCACGAUUUUUUUACUAUUUAAUCGGUCCUUUUAAAAUGUUAAAUAUUGAGAUUUGUUAUAUCCAUGGUUAUAUAUUAUUAGACAUUGAUAUGUGGUUCUAUCAAUUUUUGUAAAGCUGGUUCCAGUCGUGAUAUUUAAGAAAUGAUGGUGUCUAUAAGAUUUGCAAUGGAUAAAAGCUGGAUUAGUUAGUUUUGACGGUCCUACACAUAGUGAGUACAAAGGAAUUCCUCUUGAGGAAUCUCUUGAUUUUCAAUCCUUUGGUGAAAAUUUCGGCCAACUAUGCUUCACUUGAGCAAUGCCUAACUUCAAGUUCAACUCGAUUUACCUUUUCCCUCAAGAAGUGAAAUUUGGCUUCGAUAUGCUUACUCCUUCCAUGCAGAACUGGAUUCUUCGCCAUAUUUAUGGCAGACUUGUUGUCGAUUUGCAAGACAAGAGGUUUCUUCACUUCGACCUCCAUUUGUUCAAGUACCGAUCUAAUCCAGAUUGCUUGACACGCAGCAUGUGAUUAUUUUAUGUAUUCAGCUUCACAUGAUAAUAAUGUCACCACAUGUUGUUUCUUCGAACACCAUGAAAUUGAGGCACCAAAUACUUGAAAGAAAUAGCCAGUUAUACUUCUUCGAUCUUCCUUAUCUCUGCACCAAUCAGCAUCUGAAAAACAAGUAUUUGUUGCUUCUUUGCUUUUAGAGUCUUGUCGAAAUAGAAUUCCAUAGUCUAUAGAACCUUUUAAGUAUCUUAGAAUUUUUUUGACAACCUUUAUGUGUGACACUCUAUAUUCACUCUCGUAAUGUUUGUCUUAAAGUCCAUGUCUUGCGUAUUAUUUAUAAUUGUGGCAUAAAUUGUAGAAUGUUGCGUGAUGGAUUAAAGAUUUUGUUCGUUGUGUUUUCUAAUCCUUAAAAUUGUGAGUUUCCUGCUUUCUAACAAUGGUAGAAUGUGUUUGAUGCUCUUUCAAUGCUUGAACUGUAAUUAUGUAGCUCCUCUAUUUGUUGGUGAAAAUCCAAAAUUGUGUUUUGAGCUCCGUAGAACUACAGGUAUGUUGUGUUAGAACAAGAUUUGUUCCGAUCAAUAUUCUUAGUUUUGAUGAUAACAAGGAUAUAAAUUUUGUGUGAGAUAAUGUGGUACUCUAAUACAUUGCAAUUUCCCUUUCAGGAAAUAUAUAAAGAGUAUGCACAAAUCAGCGCUCAGAAGCUUUGUCUCAAAAGGUUCAGCAUGCAACAUCAGAACAUGGUCUGGCAAGACAUCAGAAGAUGGUCAAGGCAGAAUCAGAACAUGGGUCUAUGGAAGCAUCAGAAGAACUUGAGAUCAGAAGCAGAAGCACUGAAGUUCUCAUGGUAUCACGCUCAGAAGCACUUCAAGGUCAGAAGACGAGAAGAUGCUAUGCACCAAGCUGUUUGACUCUGAUGAUAUUCAAAUAUUAUAUACACAAACAUCAGAUCAGAAGAAAGUACACGUGGCAGGCUACGCUGACUGACAAAAGGAACGUUGAAAGCUAUUAAAGGCAACGUCAGUAGACACAGCGUGAACAAGGCUCGAGGUAGUUGACAAAAGCGUGAAACAUUAAAUGCAAUGCUGUACGGAAUACGCAAAGCAUUAAAUGCGCCCAACGGUCAUUUUCUCAAAGUGCCUAUAUAUAUGAAGUUCUGAUGAGAAGCAAGGUAACCAAUUUCUGGACGAUUUGCUAACAAUUAACUUGCUGAAAAGCUGUUCAAACUCAAAGCUCAGAAACUUCAUCUUCAUCAAAGCUCACUACAUUGCUGUUGUAAUAUAUUAGUGAGAUUAAGCUUAAACGUUAAGAGAAAUAUCACUGUUGUGAUUAUAGCUUUUCAGAAGCAUUUGUAAUACUCUUAGAUUUAAUUACAUUAAUUUGUAAGCAACUAGAGUGAUCAAGUGUUGAUCAGGAUACUCUAGGAAGUCUUAGCUUGUGUCUAAGCAGUUGUAAUUAGAGUGAUCACGUGGUGGUCAGGAUACUCUAAGAAAGUCUUAGCUUGUGUCUAAGCAUUUGUUCCUAGAGUGAUCAGGUUGUGAUCAGGAUACUCUAGAAGACUUAGUCGCGGACUAAGUGGAAAACCAUUGUAAUCUGUUGCGAUUAGUGGAUUAAAUCCUCAUGUGAGGUAAAUCACUCCGUGGGGGUGGACUGGAGUAGUUUAGUUAACAACGAACCAGGAUAAAAAUAACUGUGCAUAUUAUUUUUAUCGUUCAAGUUUUUAGACUACACUUAUUCAAACCCCCCUGUAGCGGGGAAAAUCUGAUAUCGAAGCCAUAAGAUUGACUCGAAUCAAUAUUUCAGUGAAAGUCGCCACGCGCUUUAUUGUUUCCAAAGGAAAAGGGAAAAGAACGAAUAAAACCCAAAGUUUGUUUUUAAAACAAAAAGAA
Molecule: long non-coding RNA, 2761 nt
Organism: Vicia villosa (hairy vetch)
Lineage: Eukaryota; Viridiplantae; Streptophyta; Magnoliopsida; Fabales; Fabaceae
Exons: 4
Source: RefSeq, a predicted model, not a curated record